Molecule: ribosomal RNA, 468 nt
Filed under: uncultured bacterium
Lineage: Bacteria
Description: partial 16S ribosomal RNA
Rfam family: Bacterial small subunit ribosomal RNA
Source: RNAcentral
GACGAACGCUGGCGGCGUGCUUAACACAUGCAAGUCGAACGGAAAGGCCCUGCUUUUGUGGGGUGCUCGAGUGGCGAACGGGUGAGUAACACGUGAGUAACCUGCCCUUGACUUUGUGAUAACUUCAGGAAACUGUGGCUAAUACCGGAUAGGAGCUCCUGCUGCAUUGUGUUGGUUGGAAAGUUUCGGCGGUUGGGGAUGUACUCGAGGCUUAUCAGCUUGUUGGUGGGGUAGUGGCUUACCAAGGCUUUGACGGGUAGCCGGCCUGAGAGGGUGACCGGGGAAAUUGGGACUGAGAUAAGGAACAGACUGAUACGGGAGGCAGCAGUGGGGAAUAUUGCACAAUGGGCGGAAGGCUGAUGCAGCAAAGCCGCGUGCGGGAUGACGGCCUUCGGGUUGUAAACCGAUUUCGCAUGUGACGAAGCGAGAGUGACGGUAAUGGGUAAAGAAGCACCGGCUAACUACGUG